GGGAAUGUAGUUUAAGCUUUAUGUGUUGAAGCUAUGGUAAAAUCCCUUGUUUUGAGGAGAUAUGAGUUCGACUCUCAUCAUUCCCACCA
RNAcentral lists this transfer RNA (89 nucleotides) under Clostridia bacterium. RNAcentral's name for it is "tRNA-OTHER". It matches the Rfam family "tRNA". Rfam says of the family: Transfer RNA (tRNA) molecules are approximately 80 nucleotides in length. Their secondary structure includes four short double-helical elements and three loops (D, anti-codon, and T loops). Lineage: Bacteria; Bacillati; Bacillota; Clostridia. The record is from RNAcentral.